Molecule: ribosomal RNA, 488 nt
Filed under: uncultured Acidimicrobiales bacterium
Lineage: Bacteria; Bacillati; Actinomycetota; Acidimicrobiia; Acidimicrobiales
Description: bacterial SSU rRNA
Rfam family: Bacterial small subunit ribosomal RNA
Source: RNAcentral
GCGUGGGGGAUGAAGGCCUUAGGGUCGUAAACCCCUUUCAGUAGGGAAGAAAAUGACGGUACCUACAGAAGAAGCCCCGGCCAACUACGUGCCAGCAGCCGCGGUAAGACGUAGGGGGCGAGCGUUGUCCGGAUUUAUUGGGCGUAAAGGGCUCGUAGGUGGUUGCGUAAGUCAGAUGUGAAAACUCCAGGCUCAACUUGGAGACGCCAUCUGAUACUGCGCUGACUUGAGUCCGGUAGAGGAGUGUGGAAUUUCUAGUGUAGCGGUGAAAUGCGCAAAUAUUAGAAGGAACACCUAUUGCGAAGGCAGCACUCUGGGCCGGUACUGACACUGAGGAGCGAAAGCAUGGGUAGCAAACAGGAUUAGAUACCCUGGUAGUCCAUGCCGUAAACGGUGGGCACUAGGUGUGGGGUCUUUCAACGGAUUCUGUGCCGAAGCUAACGCAUUAAGUGCCCCGCCUGGGGAGUACGGCCGCAAGGCUAAAACUC